GUUAUAUGGUCAAGCGAAUAAGCGCACACGGUGGAUGCCUUGGCGGUCAGAGGCGAUGAAGGACGUGGCAGCCUGCGAAAAGUAUCGGGGAGCUGGCAACAAGCUUUGAUCCGGUAAUGUCCGAAUGGGGAAACCCACCCGCUUGCGGGUAUCCUGCAGUGAAUACAUAGCUGCUGGAAGCGAACCUGGUGAACUGAAAUAUCUAAGUAACCAGAGGAAAAGAAAUCAACCGAGAUUCCGUAAGUAGCGACGAGCGAACGCGGACUAGCCCUUAAGCUGGAUUGGUUCUAGGAAAACGCUCUGGAAAGAGUGGCCAUAGAAGGUGAUAGCCCUGUAUCUGAAAGGGCCAUUCCAGUGAAGACGAGUAGGGCGGGGCACGUGAAACCCUGUCUGAACAUGGGGGGACCAUCCUCCAAGGCUAAAUACUACUGACCGACCGAUAGUGAACCAGUACCGUGAGGGAAAGGCGAAAAGAACCCCGGAGAGGGGAGUGAAAUAGAACCUGAAACCGUGUGCGUACAAGCAGUAGGAGCUCCGCAAGGAGUGACUGCGUACCUUUUGUAUAAUGGGUCAGCGACUUACUGUUCGUGGCAAGCUUAACCGUAUAGGGGAGGCGAAGGGAAACCGAGUCUGAUAAGGGCGCAUAGUCGCGGGCAGUAGACCCGAAACCGGGUGAUCUAGUCAUGCCCAGGGUGAAGGUGCGGUAACACGCACUGGAGGCCCGAACCCACUCCCGUUGCAAAGGUAGGGGAUGAGGUGUGAUUAGGAGUGAAAAGCUAAUCGAACCCGGAGAUAGCUGGUUCUCCUCGAAAGCUAUUUAGGUAGCGCCUCAUAUGUAUCCUCUCGGGGGUAGAGCACUGUUAUGGCUAGGGGGUCAUCGCGACUUACCAAACCAUUGCAAACUCCGAAUACCGAGACGGACUGUAUGGGAGACACACGGCGGGUGCUAACGUCCGUCGUGAAAAGGGAAACAACCCAGACCCACAGCUAAGGUCCCAAAUUUUGUGCUAAGUGGAAAACCAUGUGGAAAGGCACAGACAGCCAGGAGGUUGGCUUAGAAGCAGCCACCCUUUAAAGAAAGCGUAAUAGCUCACUGGUCGAGUCGGUCUGCGGGGAAGAUUUAACGGGGCUAAGCACAGAACCGAAGCUUGGGGUGCAUAACUUUGUUAUGCGCGGUAGAGGAGCGUUCCGUAAGCCGUUGAAGGUGGAUUGAGAAGUCUGCUGGAGGUAUCGGAAGUGCGAAUGCUGACAUGAGUAACGAUAAUGCGGGUGAAAAACCCGCACGCCGAAAGCCCAAGGUUUCCUUGCGCAACGUUAAUCGGCGCAGGGUGAGUCGGCCCCUAAGGCGAGGACGAAAGUCGUAGUCGAUGGGAAGCAGGUUAAUAUUCCUGCACCUCGCGUAAGUGCGAUGGAGGGACGGAGAAGGUUAGGUGUACCAGGCGUUGGUUGUCCUGGGGAAAGGCGGUAGGUUUGGAUCUUUGGCAAAUCCGGGAUCCUCUAAGACCGAGCACCGAGACGAGCCUUUAUGGCGAAGUCACUGAUACCACGCUUCCAGGAAAAGCUCCUAAGCUUCAGCUUACGCAGACCGUACCGUAAACCGACACAGGUGGGUAGGAUGAGAAUUCUCAGGCGCUUGAGAGAACUCGGGUGAAGGAACUAGGCAACAUGGCACCGUAACUUCGGGAGAAGGUGCACCCUUUUUGGUGGCUCGUGCGAGCUAUAGCUGAAGAGGGUCGCAGUAACCAGGCCGCUGCGACUGUUUAUCAAAAACACAGCACUCUGCAAACACGAAAGUGGACGUAUAGGGUGUGACGCCUGCCCGGUGCUGGAAGGUUAAUUGAUGGGGUCAGCCGCAAGGCGAAGCUCUUGAUCGAAGCCCCAGUAAACGGCGGCCGUAACUAUAACGGUCCUAAGGUAGCGAAAUUCCUUGUCGGGUAAGUUCCGACCUGCACGAAUGGCGUAACGACAGCGGCGCUGUCUCCACCCGAGACUCAGUGAAAUUGAAAUCGCUGUGAAGAUGCAGCGUUCCCGUGGCAAGACGGAAAGACCCCGUGAACCUUUACUAUAGCUUUACACUGAACGUUGAGUUCGUCUGUGUAGGAUAGGUGGGAGGCUAUGAAACUGUGGCGCCAGCUGCAGUGGAGCCAUCCUUGAAAUACCACCCUGUCGUGCUUGACGUUCUAACCUGGGCCCAUUAUCUGGGUCGGGGACCGUGUAUGGUGGGUAGUUUGACUGGGGCGGUCUCCUCCUAAAGAGUAACGGAGGAGCUCGAAGGUACGCUCAGCGCGGUCGGACAUCGCGCACUGUGUGCAAAGGCAUAAGCGUGCUUGACUGCAAGAUCGACGGAUCAAGCAGGUAGGAAACUAGGACUUAGUGAUCCGGUGGUUCUGUAUGGAAGGGCCAUCGCUCAACGGAUAAAAGGUACUCCGGGGAUAACAGGCUGAUACCGCCCAAGAGUUCAUAUCGACGGCGGUGUUUGGCACCUCGAUGUCGGCUCAUCACAUCCUGGGGCUGUAGUCGGUCCCAAGGGUAUGGCUGUUCGCCAUUUAAAGUGGUACGCGAGCUGGGUUCAGAACGUCGUGAGACAGUUCGGUCCCUAUCUGCCAUGGGCGUUGGAGAUUUGAGAGGGGCUGCUCCUAGUACGAGAGGACCGGAGUGGACGAACCUCUGGUGUUCCGGUUGUCACGCCAGUGGCAUUGCCGGGUAGCUAUGUUCGGAAGCGAUAACCGCUGAAAGCAUCUAAGCGGGAAGCGCGCCUCAAGAUGAGAUCUCCCGGGGCACAAGCCCCCUGAAGGAACCAUGUAGACUACGUGGUUGAUAGGUCAGGUGUGUAAGUACAGCAAUGUAUUGAGCUAACUGAUACUAAUGAUCCGUGCGGCUUGACCAUAUAACCU
This 2894-nucleotide ribosomal RNA is filed under the name Stenotrophomonas maltophilia. RNAcentral describes it as "23S ribosomal RNA". It matches the Rfam family "Bacterial large subunit ribosomal RNA". The record is from RNAcentral. Lineage: Bacteria; Pseudomonadati; Pseudomonadota; Gammaproteobacteria; Lysobacterales; Lysobacteraceae.